AGUGAACGCUGGCGGUAGGCCUAACACAUGCAAGUCGAACGGCAGCACAGUAAGAGCUUGCUCUUACGGGUGGCGAGUGGCGGACGGGUGAGGUAUACAUCGGAAUCUACUUUUUCGUGGGGGAUAACGUAGGGAAACCUACGCUAAUACCGCAUACGACCUACGGGUGAAAGCAGGGGAUCUUUGGACCUUGCGCGAUUGAAUUAGCCGAUGUCGGAUUAGCUAGUUGGCGGGGUAAAGGCCCACCAAGGCGACGAUCCGUAGCUGGUCUGAGAGGAUGAUCGGCCACACUGGAGCUGAGACACGGUCCAGACUCCUACGGGAGGCAGCAGUGGGGAAUAUUGGACAAUGGGCGCAAGCCUGAUCCAGCCAUACCGCGUGGGUGAAGAAGGCCUUCGGGUUGUAAAGCCCGUUUGUUGGGAAAGAAAAGCAGCAGGUUAAUACCCCGCGGUUCUGACGGUACCCGAAGAAUAAGCACCGGCUAACUUCGUG
Molecule: ribosomal RNA, 492 nt
Filed under: uncultured bacterium
Lineage: Bacteria
Description: partial 16S ribosomal RNA
Rfam family: Bacterial small subunit ribosomal RNA
Source: RNAcentral